UUCUUAUUGGAUAAUGACUAUUACGUGCCAUGUUUUGAUUAAAUGUAACUCUAUGAAAGAUGAAAUAAAUUGUUGUUUUCAUUGAACAAUCAGAAUAUGACAUAUGAUAAUUAUCAUCC
Glycine soja is the source of this 119-nucleotide non-coding RNA. NCBI's taxonomy places the organism in Eukaryota, Viridiplantae, Streptophyta, Magnoliopsida, Fabales, Fabaceae. The record is from Rfam.